This 253-nucleotide ribosomal RNA is filed under the name uncultured bacterium. RNAcentral's name for it is "partial 16S ribosomal RNA". It matches the Rfam family "Bacterial small subunit ribosomal RNA", at positions 524 to 776 of the family's 1533-position model. The record is from RNAcentral.
UACAGAGGUCUCAAGCGUUGUUCGGAUUCAUUGGGCGUAAAGGGCGCGUAGGUGGCGCUCCAAGUCUGUGGUGAAAGCUCGAUGCUUAACAUCGAGUCGGCCACGGAGACUGGAGGGCUCGAGCACUGUAGGGGCAGAUGGAAUUCCGGGUGUAGCGGUGGAAUGCGUAGAGAUCCGGAAGAACACCGGUGGCGAAGGCGGUCUGCUGGGCAGUAGCUGACACUGAGGCGCGACAGCGUGGGGAGCAAACAGG